Non-coding RNA from Notechis scutatus (mainland tiger snake), 158 nucleotides. NCBI's taxonomy places the organism in Eukaryota, Metazoa, Chordata, Lepidosauria, Squamata, Elapidae. The record is from RefSeq and is a predicted model, not a curated record.
UAAGUAGUUGCAUUUGUCAAGGCACAGAAGAGGCUGUACUUCCUGAGAAUGCUCAGGAAGAUAAAUCUAUCUCAGCAUCUACUUCUGUCCUACUACCACAGCACCAUUGAGAGUAUCCCGACAUACAGCAUUCUUGCAUGAUAUGGGAGCAGCUUUGU